AUGGGUCAGAGCCCCCUUAUCCGGCUGCCGGUGGCGGAGCAGAUUCAGCCAGAGGUGGCAACCGGUGGCAGCAACAGGAAGGAACAACCUGGCAAGUCUACAAAAGCUACAAAUAAAUACUACAAAAACUCAAGAAAAGACGAUCUAGUUUUAAGGGCGACACUGGACUCAAUUACUAGAAUUGGAUAA
RNAcentral lists this ribosomal RNA (189 nucleotides) under Triticum aestivum (bread wheat). RNAcentral's name for it is "partial small subunit ribosomal RNA". The record is from RNAcentral. Lineage: Eukaryota; Viridiplantae; Streptophyta; Magnoliopsida; Poales; Poaceae.